UACUGGGCUGUAAGCGUGCGUAGGUGGUUCGUUAAGUCUGUUGUGAAAGCCCUGGGCUCAACCUGGGAAUGGCGAUGGAUACUGGCGAGCUAGAGUACGGUAGAGGAUGGUGGAAUUCCCGGUGUAGCGGUGAAAUGCGUAGAGAUCGGGAGGAACAUCAGUGGCGAAGGCGGCCAUCUGGACCAGUACUGACGCUGAGGCACGAAAGCGUGGGGAGCAAACAGGAUUAGAUACCCUGGUAGUCCACGCCCUAAACGAUGCGGACUGGACGUUGGGCACACUUCGGUGCUCAGUGUCGAAGCUAACGCGUUAAGUCCGCCGCCUGGGGAGUACGCUCGCAAGAGUGAAACUCAACAGGACUUGACGGGGGCCCGCACAAGGCGGUGGAGUAUGUGGUUUAAUUCGAUGCAACGCGCAGAACCUUACAUGGCCCUUGACAUGUCUCAGAACCCUUCCGAGAUGAGGGGGUGCCUUC
This 475-nucleotide ribosomal RNA is filed under the name uncultured Lysobacterales bacterium. RNAcentral describes it as "bacterial SSU rRNA". It matches the Rfam family "Bacterial small subunit ribosomal RNA", at positions 552 to 1021 of the family's 1533-position model. The record is from RNAcentral. Lineage: Bacteria; Pseudomonadati; Pseudomonadota; Gammaproteobacteria; Lysobacterales.